RNAcentral lists this long non-coding RNA (245 nucleotides) under Mytilus galloprovincialis (Mediterranean mussel). The record is from RNAcentral. Lineage: Eukaryota; Metazoa; Mollusca; Bivalvia; Mytilida; Mytilidae.
UUUUUUUAAAUUAUGAUUUUCAAUGGUUCAUAAAAAGAGUGCAAGGUCAGAUGAACCAUGACAUACAGAUCUCUACAAAUAUCCCGUAGACCAAAUAAAUGUGUUCCGAUCGUUACAGUGCCUUAGAAACUGACAAAAGUUAUGCUUGGCAAAUUAAUUCGAAACAUAAGGUCAAAAGUAUAUGAACCCUGACCGACAGCCAGACAUAGACAUCUUGCUAUUAUUCAAUAUAUCAAAUACAAUUG